UAUUGAGCUGUGAGUGUGUUAUCUCACAUGAGUUAUGUUCAACAAAGUGUCGCUAUGGAAACUUGUGCUGCAUCUAUUAUUUCACCCUCACGAACACAGCCGCAUUCUUCCUCUUCUGAUGAACCAAGCAUUAUUUUUAAGUUUGCUGUUGCCCUAUUAUGGAAAGGAAUGUUAUGAAGGCUUGCCAACAAAUCUCUUUUAAUAAACUGAACAUCUUGUAGCUGUCAAGCUGUUAAUGAGUAAACUUCAGAGACACAGGUGUUAGAAUGCUCUGAUGUUCCACAUGAUAAUAACGGAUCUAGUCCUAAAAGAGUUGCUGAAAAUCAAUCACUGAUGGAUAAAACUGGAGUCCCAGGUGGAGCCAAGACUAUCUUAGUUGAUCAAACAGGAGAGUAUUAGGCUGUUUGGAUCUCAGACUGACUACCGGCCUGACCAAAGAACGCACAGGAACCACAUGGACCAGCCAGCCACUGAUGUCAGGGUAGGAGAUUGACUCAUUCACCCUUCAACGGGAGAGUAUAAUGGGUUGUGGAGGAGAACAAGUGGGUCUUCCAUCUGCAGUAAUUAGUUUCCCCUCAUAUAUAUAUAAUUAAACAAGAAUUGUUAGGCUACUUAACACUUGUGCUGGAUACACAAAUAUAUAUAUAUAUAUUUAGAUCCCUCACCGUUUAAAAUAAUUGUAUGUAUUCUGCAUGUUUUCUUUUUAAUUUGUAUUAUUUAUUCAUGUAUUGAUUGUAAAUCUAUACAAUUUAUUAAAAAACAUUCU
Acipenser ruthenus (sterlet) is the source of this 766-nucleotide long non-coding RNA. RefSeq lists it as uncharacterized. The record is from RefSeq and is a predicted model, not a curated record. The transcript is spliced from 3 exons. Lineage: Eukaryota; Metazoa; Chordata; Actinopteri; Acipenseriformes; Acipenseridae.